UCACUUUUACGGUGCUUCUCCGGAGAUACGUGUUCAUAAUAAUCGAGUCCAGUGUGAAGGCGAGCAAUGACACACAGCCAUGUCAGAAUCACUACGGCGUUAUUUAUCUUCGCGAACUUCAAAUUCGGUGAUGUCACAUCUGAGAUCAUUGUCCAGUCUAAUGGGAACUUCACACUACAGCCUAAUGUUCAGGGUACUCUGGAGGAAAUUUUGUGGAGGUGGAAUAA
Molecule: long non-coding RNA, 227 nt
Organism: Anguilla anguilla (European eel)
Lineage: Eukaryota; Metazoa; Chordata; Actinopteri; Anguilliformes; Anguillidae
Exons: 2
Source: RefSeq, a predicted model, not a curated record